RNAcentral lists this ribosomal RNA (448 nucleotides) under uncultured bacterium. Its description in RNAcentral is "bacterial SSU rRNA". It matches the Rfam family "Bacterial small subunit ribosomal RNA", at positions 32 to 510 of the family's 1533-position model. The record is from RNAcentral.
AAUCAACGCUGGCGGCGUGCCUAACACAUGCAAGUCGCACGAGAAAGGGACUUCGGUCCUGAGUACAGUGGCGCACGGGUGAGUAACACGUGAAUAAUCUACCUCCGAGUGGGGAAUAACUGAGAGAAAUCUUAGCUAAUACCGCAUAACACUUACGAGUCAAAGCAGCAAUGCGCUUGGAGAGGAGUUCGCGGCAGAUUAGUUAGUUGGCAGGGUAAUGGCCACCAAGACGAUGAUCUGUAUCCGGCCUGAGAGGGCGCACGGACACACUGGGACUGAAACACGGUCCAGACUCCUACGGGAGGCAGCAGUGGGGAAUUUUGCGCAAUGGGGAAACCCUGACGCAGCAACGCCGCGUGGAGGAUGAAAUCCCUUGGGAUGUAAACUCCUUUCGAUCGGGAAGAUAAUGACGGUACCGAGAGAAGAAGCCCCGGCUAACUUCGUGCCA